GCUGGCGGCGUGCUAAUGCAUGCAAGUCGAGCGGGCUACGAUCUUCGGAUUGUAGCUUAGCGGCGAACGGGUGAGUAACACGUAGGUAAUCUACCCUUCAGAGGAGGACAACCUCAGGAAACUGAGGCUAAACCUUCAUACGUUCACUGGUAGGGAUACUGGUGAAGAAAGAGUUACCUUAGUGGUAGCUGCUGAAGGAUGAGCCUGCGGCCCAUCAGGUAGUUGGUGAGGUAACGGCUCACCAAGCCGAAGACGGGUAACCGGUCUGAGAGGAUGUCCGGUCACACUGGGACUGAGACACGGCCCAGACUCCUACGGGAGGCAGCAGCAGGGAAUCUUGGGCAAUGGGCGAAAGCCUGACCCAGCGACGCCGCGUGGAGGAAGAAGUCCUUCGGGGCGUAAACUCCUGGACUGGGGGACGAGGAAGGACGGUACCCAGUAGAAAGGGACGGCUAACUACGUGCACCAGCCGGGGGUAA
RNAcentral lists this ribosomal RNA (479 nucleotides) under Coprothermobacter sp. TERIGK51. RNAcentral describes it as "bacterial SSU rRNA". It matches the Rfam family "Bacterial small subunit ribosomal RNA", at positions 35 to 524 of the family's 1533-position model. The record is from RNAcentral. Lineage: Bacteria; Pseudomonadati; Coprothermobacterota; Coprothermobacteria; Coprothermobacterales; Coprothermobacteraceae.